Molecule: long non-coding RNA, 590 nt
Organism: Carassius carassius (crucian carp)
Lineage: Eukaryota; Metazoa; Chordata; Actinopteri; Cypriniformes; Cyprinidae
Exons: 2
Source: RefSeq, a predicted model, not a curated record
GUUGUUUGUUUAUUUUAAUUUUUCUUAGGAAGAUAACUGACCCUUUAUUUUCCUUUGUAAUAAAUGUGCUUAUAAACCAAGAACAAGCUAUUUAUAGCUGUAUUUAUAAACUGCUUAGUAUUGACUAUUAAUGUUAAGACAAGGCUUUAUAAAGCAUAAACUGACUAUUUACUAAUGAGUGCAGUUAUUAUAAAGUGUUACCAAUGCAUUUACUAAUGUUAACAAAUUAGACAUUAUUUUACAGUGUUAUCAAAUCCUUAAAUGAUUUAUAAGUGUUUUGUAAUGAUUUUAUUGACCUAUAAGCAUUUGUGAAAGUUCUGCUUUCAUUACAGCUUAGUCUUCAUCUGUGAGCUGAACAGAUUUACUGUUACAUCCAUGAGAUCAUGUAAAUUCAAAUAAAUAUCAUGUCACAGGAUGUCAUAGGUCAGUAUCAAAUUAUUUGAAAUUAUUAUUUGCAGCACAAAUAAGUAUUUUUAGAAUUUUUUUUUUAAUUCCUGAAACUGUCAGAAAAGGAUAAGGCCUAAGAGAUUUCUUAAGCUGUAAUGAAAACAGCACAAUUAGCAACAACAACAAAAAAAUAACAAUUUAAA